CUCGUCGGUGUUGAAGCGAAUCGUCUGCUGCUGUGGCCAAGCCUCAUGAGUUCUGUCCGACGACGUGGCCAAGCUUCGGAGGAGUCGUCUGAAGCCACUGUCUGUUGAUGAUAGCCUUCCUCCCAUGGCGUACCAUGUUGUCAAAGAUGAGGAGUACCGCGGAGAGGUUAGAGUCGCCCUCACAGAGGAGACGAGGUUGAAGAGGAGAGCCUUGGAGGAUGGAAACAAUCAUGUGUGGAGUGAGAAAGAUGUCGGCAUUACUUAUCAGUUUGAGAUAGUCAUUUCAUUGCAACUACUUGCUGUUUCGAUUUUUUUGAGGAACAUACAUUUGGUGGAUAUCAGCA
This is a non-coding RNA of Salvia hispanica, 344 nucleotides long. NCBI's taxonomy places the organism in Eukaryota, Viridiplantae, Streptophyta, Magnoliopsida, Lamiales, Lamiaceae. The record is from RefSeq and is a predicted model, not a curated record.